GUCAAGAUGACCGAGUGGUCUAAGGCACCAGACUCAAGGUCCUCGUUUGAGGGAGUGGAUUCAAAUCCCACUUCUGACA
Molecule: transfer RNA, 79 nt
Filed under: Phaseolus vulgaris (common bean)
Lineage: Eukaryota; Viridiplantae; Streptophyta; Magnoliopsida; Fabales; Fabaceae
Rfam family: tRNA
About the family: Transfer RNA (tRNA) molecules are approximately 80 nucleotides in length. Their secondary structure includes four short double-helical elements and three loops (D, anti-codon, and T loops). Further hydrogen bonds mediate the characteristic L-shaped molecular structure. tRNAs have two regions of fundamental functional importance: the anti-codon, which is responsible for specific mRNA codon recognition, and the 3' end, to which the tRNAs corresponding amino acid is attached (by aminoacyl-tRNA synthetases). tRNAs cope with the degeneracy of the genetic code in two manners: having more than one tRNA (with a specific anti-codon) for a particular amino acid; and 'wobble' base-pairing, i.e. permitting non-standard base-pairing at the 3rd anti-codon position.
Source: Rfam by way of RNAcentral